GACGAACGCUGGCGGCGCGCCUAACACAUGCAAGUCGAACGAGCGAGAGAGAGCUUGCUUUCUUGAGCGAGUGGCGAACGGGUGAGUAACGCGUGAGGAACCUGCCUCAAAGAGGGGGACAACAGUUGGAAACGACUGCUAAUACCGCAUAAGCCCACGGUGCCGCAUGGCACAGAGGGAAAAGGAGCAAUCCGCUUUGAGAUGGUCUCGCGUCCGAUUAGCUAGUUGGUGAGGUAACGGCCCACCAAGGCGACGAUCGGUAGCCGGACUGAGAGGUUGAACGGCCACAUUGGGACUGAGACACGGCCCAGACUCCUACGGGAGGCAGCAGUGGGGAAUAUUGCACAAUGGGGGAAACCCUGAUGCAGCGACGCCGCGUGGAGGAAGAAGGUCUUCGGAUUGUAAACUCCUGUUGUUGGGGAAGAUAAUGACGGUACCCAACAAGGAAGUGACGGCUAACUACGUG
RNAcentral lists this ribosomal RNA (466 nucleotides) under uncultured bacterium. Its description in RNAcentral is "partial 16S ribosomal RNA". It matches the Rfam family "Bacterial small subunit ribosomal RNA", at positions 28 to 507 of the family's 1533-position model. The record is from RNAcentral.